UACGGGGGGGGCAAGCGUUGUUCGGAAUUACUGGGCGUAAAGGGCGCGUAGGCGGCCUUCUAAGUCGGACGUGAAAUCCCUCGGCUCAACCGAGGAACUGCGUCCGAUACUGAAAGGCUUGAAUCCGGGAGAGGGAUGUGGAAUUCCAGGUGUAGCGGUGAAAUGCGUAGAUAUCGUAAGGAAGACCAGUGGCGAAGGCGGGUCUCUGGACAGUUCCUGACGCUGAGGCACGAAGGUCAGGGGAGCAAACGGG
Molecule: ribosomal RNA, 253 nt
Filed under: uncultured bacterium
Lineage: Bacteria
Description: partial 16S ribosomal RNA
Rfam family: Bacterial small subunit ribosomal RNA
Source: RNAcentral